RNAcentral lists this transfer RNA (65 nucleotides) under Oplurus grandidieri. RNAcentral describes it as "tRNA-Cys". The record is from RNAcentral. Lineage: Eukaryota; Metazoa; Chordata; Lepidosauria; Squamata.
AGUCUCGGGGUGUUAUCACAUCGAAGUGCAAAUUCGAGGAUGAGCCCUUUCAGGCUCCGGGGCUU